GGGUGGCCAAGAACUGGGGCACCGUGCGCAGCAGCACGCGGCCCGGGCUGCCCUGCCUUCUAGGCCUGGAGCUCGAGCCCCCAGGGUGGCAAUACCAAGCUGGAGGGUAAGCAAGGGUGGAGUAAUAGUGGGGUUGAGGUCUCCGAGGCAAGUACGGAGCGUGCCCCCACCACUUCGAGGCCGCCUAUCCAGGGGCGGUGGCUAGGAUGAGCUCAUGGGGGCGGGGCGCCAAGAUCCCGCCCUUCUCGACCCCCCUCACUGCUCGCGAUGCAGGAUGGUCCCCAAAACAACAUUCAGGAGGGUGCGAGUACCCCCUUCAUAGCUGAGGGCUCUUGAUUACCUGGCUCUAGCCCGCAGACUCUUGCACCAGUUCCCAGCACUCAGAGGGGACAGGCCAGCGAUCCCCUGAUUUCCCGGCCCCAGAAGCCCCUCGAGCCGAGGCCCAGAAGCUCAGCCCUCGGCCUCAACCCGCUGGCGAGGGGCGCCAGGACCCCGAUCGGCGCACGGAGCCCACAGGUGGCGCCGCAACUUCGCGGUUGCGCUGCGCCUUCUCAGCAGGGCCUAGCGCGCUGCCCAGCCUGGCUACCGUGGGGUGCGCCCUGUCCCCAGUGGCUGCUCACCCAGAAGACGAAAUUGAAGACGAAGAGCAGGAUUUCAACAUAGACCAAAGACCAGCAUCUCUUCAGGAAUCCUCUAGGACUCCAGCACUAGAUGGUACUGCUGAGACACCCAGUCUUGGGGACUGAACAACUGCCAGAUUCUUGGCCUUCCCACUGGAAUACUGCUAUUGUUGGAAUACCAGGCUACAGCCGGUAUCCCCUGAACCCUGCACCAAAGGAGAAUGUGUGAUUCCUGGUGAUGUUUGCUGUCCCCCUGACAUCCAUAACUCAAAGACUAUGGGUCAUGUGAUUGAGGAAUAAGCUAGGGAAGAUACAUGAAGAAAACAGUCAAAGAUCUGAUCUGUCCGUGGUUAAAGAUGUGAGCUCGCCAUGUCUUCCACUUGUUGCUAUGCCUUCCUGCGAUGAUGGACUCGCAUCCCUCUGGAACGAUGUUUCCAGAGCGGUCUAACCUGGGCAGGAGUGAGCACUUUCCAGCAAGUGGCUGAGUACUAAAAGGUGGCCCAGUCUAAAGAAAAAGCAGUGUUGGCUGCCUGCCUGCCUUCCCUGGGUCUGGAGCCAGUGUGUCCAUCUGCUGCCACUGUCUUCUUUUGACGUCAGACUGAAGUUUCUUCAGCCUUCUCUAACAAGAACGAAACACCAGUGACUCUUCAGGAAUUUUCCAGGCCUUCAGCACCAGACUGAGACUGCUGAAGCGAUCAGCUUUUUGGACUAAACAGCCUGUUUAGUGUUGUGUAAGUCAAUCUAAUAAAUCCUCCUUUAUAACACACAUUUCCUCUAUUAGUUCUGUCUCCAAAGAACCCUAUUUCAUCCAUAUUGAGGUACCAGUAGUAGGUUCUAGAGAGGCAGAACUCUAAGGAUGAAUUUCUCUAGUGGGCUUGAUGGUGUUUGACUUAGCUCUCCAAUUCAUCUACACUUGGAAUUGCAAAGACUCUACACUUCUCUGGUAGUGUAGAGAGAGCAUUACCAAUCCGUCUUAGGCGUCCAAGAACUGUACAGUGAGUUCACACAUACACACGCAUACAUGUGCACACAUGUAUAAAUAAACAAACAAAUUAAAUAAAUAAAUGUAACUUAAAAAUUAAAAGGAAAGAGAAUGGCUCUUCCUUCCAAGAAUGGAUGUGGGCUGAGAGGUAGCAAAGGUUUGAAUCUCUGAUGGUGCUGAGCCAGAACAGUCAUGAGCCUCUGUGGGUCACAUAGUACUCACAUAGUACCCACAUGCUCCACAUUUGGAGCAUAAAGGGCAGGAGCUUUCCUCGGGGGUGCUCUGUGCCUGGUAUGUGUCCUUUGUUAUAUGUUUCCAGCCUUCUGUUACCAUUGGUCUCUUCUAUAUGCUAAUCUUCAUCCUCCUUUCCCCCAACAUGCCAUGCUAAUGGACAGCAGAGACCAAACAGUGUCCAUAACUGAUCCAACUUGGGUAUCUCAGUGGUGUGUGUCCCUAAAAGUGCAAUAGAUGGGGGUUGGGGGAGGAGCUUACUAAACACUACUCCAUCUGUGUAGACAAAUUACAGAGCAAAUGAAACAUUUACCUUGAAAGACUGGAGAGGCAGCUCAGUGUUUAAGAGCACUGGCUACUCUUCCAGAGAGCCUGGGGUUCAAUUCCCCCCCACCCAUAUGGCAGUUCACAACAGUCUCUAAUGGCUGUAGUCCUAUGGGCUCCAAUGUCCUCUUUUGACUUCUGCAAGCACCAGGCAUGCAAGUGGUACACAGAUAGGCAUGCAGGCAUACCACGCAUAC
This 2354-nucleotide long non-coding RNA is filed under the name Mus musculus (house mouse). RNAcentral's name for it is "expressed sequence R74862, transcript variant 2 (R74862)". The record is from RNAcentral. Lineage: Eukaryota; Metazoa; Chordata; Mammalia; Rodentia; Muridae.